CCUGUCCAACGUUAAUCGGGGCAGGGUAAGUCGACCCCUAAGGCGAGGCCGAAAGGCGUAGUCGAUGGGAAACGGGUUAAUAUUCCCGUACUUCUUACAAUUGCGAUGGGGGGACGGAGAAGGCUAGGUGGGCCUGGCGACGGUUGUCCAGGUUCAAGUGCGUAGGCUUAAGAGUUAGGUAAAUCCGGCUCUUUUUAAGGCUGAGACACGACGUCGAGCACCUACGGGUGUGAAGUCAUUGAUGCCAUGCUUCCAGGAAAAGCCUCUAAGCUUCAGAUUGUAAGGAAUCGUACCCCAAACCGACACAGGUGGUCGGGUAGAGAAUACCAAGGCGCUUGAGAGAACUCGGGUGAAGGAACUAGGCAAAAUGGUACCGUAACUUCGGGAGAAGGUACGCUCUUGAUGGUGAAGUCCCUCGCGGAUGGAGCUGACGAGAGUCGCAGAUACCAGGUGGCUGCAACUGUUUAUUAAAAACACAGCACUGUGCAAAAUCGUAAGAUGACGUAUACGGUGUGACGCCUGCCCGGUGCCGGAAGGUUAAUUGAUGGGGUUAGACUUCGGUCGAAGCUCUUGAUCGAAGCCCCGGUAAACGGCGGCCGUAACUAUAACGGUCCUAAGGUAGCGAAAUUCCUUGUCGGGUAAGUUCCGACCUGCACGAAUGGCGUAAUGAUGGCCACGCUGUCUCCACCCGAGACUCAGUGAAAUUGAAAUCGCUGUGAAGAUGCAGUGUACCCGCGGCUAGACGGAAAGACCCCGUGAACCUUUACUACAGCUUGGCACUGAACAUUGACCCUACAUGUGUAGGAUAGGUGGGAGGCUUUGAAGCACGUACGCCAGUAUGUGUGGAGCCGUCCUUGAAAUACCACCCUUGUAGUGUUGAUGUUCUAACGUUGACCCCUAAUCGGGGUUGCGGACAGUGCCUGGUGGGUAGUUUGACUGGGGCGGUCUCCUCCCAAAGAGUAACGGAGGAGCACGAAGGUGGGCUAAUCACGGUUGGACAUCGUGAGGUUAGUGCAAUGGCAUAAGCCCGCUUGACUGCGAGAAUGACAAUUCGAGCAGGUGCGAAAGCAGGUCAUAGUGAUCCGGUGGUUCUGAAUGGAAGGGCCAUCGCUCAACGGAUAAAAGGUACUCCGGGGAUAACAGGCUGAUACCGCCCAAGAGUUCAUAUCGACGGCGGUGUUUGGCACCUCGAUGUCGGCUCAUCACAUCCUGGGGCUGAAGUCGGUCCCAAGGGUAUGGCUGUUCGCCAUUUAAAGUGGUACGCGAGCUGGGUUUAGAACGUCGUGAGACAGUUCGGUCCCUAUCUGCCGUGGGCGUUGGAAGAUUGAAGGGGGCUGCUCCUAGUACGAGAGGACCGGAGUGGACGAACCUCUGGUGUUCGGGUUGUGUCGCCAGACGCAUUGCCCGGUAGCUAAGUUCGGAAUCGAUAACCGCUGAAAGCAUCUAAGCGGGAAGCGAGCCCUGAGAUGAGUCUUCCCUGAUACUUUAAGUAUCCUAAAGGGUUGUCGGAGACUACGACGUUGAUAGGUCAGGUGUGUAAGUGCUGUGAGGCAUUGAGCUAACUGAUACUAAUUGCCCGUGAGGCUUAACCAU
This 1593-nucleotide ribosomal RNA is filed under the name Vibrio parahaemolyticus. Its description in RNAcentral is "partial 23S ribosomal RNA". It matches the Rfam family "Bacterial large subunit ribosomal RNA", at positions 1354 to 2925 of the family's 2925-position model. The record is from RNAcentral. Lineage: Bacteria; Pseudomonadati; Pseudomonadota; Gammaproteobacteria; Vibrionales; Vibrionaceae.